GAUGAACGCUGGCGGCGUGCCUAAUACAUGCAAGUCGAGCGAACAGACGAGGAGCUUGCUCCUCUGAUGUUAGCGGCGGACGGGUGAGUAACACGUGGAUAACCUACCUAUAAGACUGGGAUAACUUCGGGAAACCGGAGCUAAUACCGGAUAACAUGUUGAACCGCAUGGUUCAACAGUGAAAGACGGUCUUGCUGUCACUUAUAGAUGGAUCCGCGCCGCAUUAGCUAGUUGGUAAGGUAACGGCUUACCAAGGCAACGAUGCGUAGCCGACCUGAGAGGGUGAUCGGCCACACUGGAACUGAGACACGGUCCAGACUCCUACGGGAGGCAGCAGUAGGGAAUCUUCCGCAGUGGGCGAAAGCCUGACGGAGCAACGCCGCGUGAGUGAAGAAGGUCUUCGGAUCGUAAAACUCUGUUAUUAGGGAAGAACAAAUGUGUAAGUAACUAUGCACGUCUUGACGGUACCUAAUCAGAAAGCCACGGCUAACUACGU
This 496-nucleotide ribosomal RNA is filed under the name uncultured bacterium. RNAcentral describes it as "partial 16S ribosomal RNA". It matches the Rfam family "Bacterial small subunit ribosomal RNA", at positions 28 to 506 of the family's 1533-position model. The record is from RNAcentral.